UAGUCCACGCCGUAAACGAUGGAUACUAGCUGUUCGGUUUUCGGACUGAGUGGCUAAGCGAAAGUGAUAAGUAUCCCACCUGGGGAGUACGUUCGCAAGAAUGAAACUCAAAGGAAUUGACGGGGGCCCGCACAAGCGGUGGAGCAUGUGGUUUAAUUCGAUGAUACGCGAGGAACCUUACCAGGGCUUAAAUGCAUAACGACAGGAGUGGAAACACUUUUUUCUUCGGACGGAAUGCAAGGUGCUGCAUGGUUGUCGUCAGCUCGUGCCGUGAGGUGUCAGGUUAAGUCCUAUAACGAGCGCAACCCCUGUUGUUAGUUGCCAGCGAGUAAUGUCGGGAACUCUAACAAGACUGCCGGUGCAAACCGUGAGGAAGGUGGGGAUGACGUCAAAUCAUCACGGCCCUUACGUCCUGGGCCACACACGUGCUACAAUGGCCGGUACAGAGGGCAGCCACUACGCGAGUAGGAGCGAAUCCUUAAAACCGGUCUCAGUUCGGAUCGGAGUCUGCAACUCGACUCCGU
Molecule: ribosomal RNA, 524 nt
Filed under: uncultured bacterium
Lineage: Bacteria
Description: bacterial SSU rRNA
Rfam family: Bacterial small subunit ribosomal RNA
Source: RNAcentral